CCUACGGGUGGCAGCAGUGGGGAAUAUUGCGCAAUGGGCGAAAGCCUGACGCAGCGACGCCGCGUGAGGGAUGAAGGUCUUCGGAUCGUAAACCUCUGUCAGCAGGGAAGAACGGUCACUGUGCUAAUCAGCAGUGAAUUGACGGUACCUGCAAAGGAAGCACCGGCUAACUCCGUGCCAGCAGCCGCGGUAAUACGGAGGGUGCGAGCGUUAGUCGGAAUUACUGGGCGUAAAGCGCUCGUAGGCGGUAUGGCAAGUCAAGGGUGAAAGCCCCGCGCUCAACGUGGGAACUGCCUUUGAAACUGGCAAACUGGAGUGUGUGAGAGGAUGGUGGAAUGCCAGGUGUAGGAGUGAAAUCCGUAGAUAUCUGGAGGAACAUCAGUGGCGAAGGCGACUAUCUGGCACAUAACUGACGCUGAGGAGCGAAAGCGUGGGUAGCAAACAGGAUUAGAUACCCCAGUAGUC
Molecule: ribosomal RNA, 465 nt
Filed under: uncultured bacterium
Lineage: Bacteria
Description: partial 16S ribosomal RNA
Rfam family: Bacterial small subunit ribosomal RNA
Source: RNAcentral